UGGGGAAUUUUGGACAAUGGGGGAAACCCUGAUCCAGCCAUCCCGCGUGUGCGAUGAAGGCCUUCGGGUUGUAAGCACUUUUGGCAGGAAAGAAACGUCGCGGGUUAAUACCCCGCGAACAUGACGGUACCUGCAGAAUAAGCACCGGCUAACUACGUGCCAGCAGCCGCGGUAAUACGUAGGGUGCAAGCGUUAAUCGGAAUUACUGGGCGUAAAGCGUGCGCAGGCGGUUCGGAAAGAAAGAUGUGAAAUCCCAGAGCUUAACUUUGGAACUGCAUUUUUAAACUACCGGGCUAGAGUGUGUCAGAGGGAGGUGGAAUUCCGCGUGUAGCAGUGAAAUGCGUAGAUAUGCGGAGGAACACCGAUGGCGAAAGGCAGCCUCCUGGGGAUAACACUGACGCUCAUGCACGAAAAGCGU
Molecule: ribosomal RNA, 418 nt
Filed under: uncultured bacterium
Lineage: Bacteria
Description: partial 16S ribosomal RNA
Rfam family: Bacterial small subunit ribosomal RNA
Source: RNAcentral